CUUGCUUCUCUUGAGAGCGGCGGACGGGUGAGUAAUGCCUAGGAAUCUGCCUGGUAGUGGGGGAUAACGUUCGGAAACGGACGCUAAUACCGCAUACGUCCUACGGGAGAAAGCAGGGGACCUUCGGGCCUUGCGCUAUCAGAUGAGCCUAGGUCGGAUUAGCUAGUUGGUGGGGUAAUGGCUCACCAAGGCGACGAUCCGUAACUGGUCUGAGAGGGUGAUCAGUCACACUGGAACUGAGACACGGUCCAGACUCCUACGGGAGGCAGCAGUGGGGAAUAUUGGACAAUGGGCGAAAGCCUGAUCCAGCCAUGCCGCGUGUGUGAAGAAGGUCUUCGGAUUGUAAAGCACUUUAAGUUGGGAGGAAGGGUUGUAGAUUAAUACUCUGCAAUUUUGACGUUACCGACAGAAUAAGCACCGGCUAACUCUGUGCCAGCAGCCGCGGUAAUACAGAGGGUGCAAGCGUUAAUCGGAAUUACUGGGCGUAAAGCGCGCGUAGGUGGUUUGUUAAGUUGGAUGUGAAAUCCCCGGGCUCAACCUGGGAACUGCAUUCAAAACUGACUGACUAGAGUAUGGUAGA
This 580-nucleotide ribosomal RNA is filed under the name uncultured bacterium. Its description in RNAcentral is "bacterial SSU rRNA". It matches the Rfam family "Bacterial small subunit ribosomal RNA", at positions 79 to 655 of the family's 1533-position model. The record is from RNAcentral.